This is a long non-coding RNA of Gymnogyps californianus (California condor), 790 nucleotides long. RefSeq lists it as uncharacterized. NCBI's taxonomy places the organism in Eukaryota, Metazoa, Chordata, Aves, Accipitriformes, Cathartidae. The record is from RefSeq and is a predicted model, not a curated record. The transcript has 3 exons.
CUGGGCCCCGUGGAAUGAGGCAGUGCUGAAUGUGUUGCUCCCGGGAGGCCAUGAAGCUCUACUGUGUGUCAUCACAUUCCCCCGUAGCGAGAGGGUCCUGGAGAGCCGCCACCACCACCGCCUCCUCCUCCUGCUUCUGAGUGUCACUUGCAGCUCCGUGGCCCAUCAAGGUUUAUGCAGAUAAAGAAAAUGACACACAUAAGGGGAGGUGACAAAAUGAAAGAAAAAUAAAGGAAGAGAGUGUCUACGGUAGCUCAGCAUCACCAUUUUAAGGGCCCAGGGAACGGAAAGGGACUUUGGCGUUCCUCUUCGGGGAGGAAUUGAGGAGAUACCUAUCUCAAAGCCUACACUAAAAUGCCAUGGAGAUUAGAGAAGACAACCCAGAAGAGAGGAGUGAACAGUCUGCCGUUGCCCUUUCUCCAAGCUGGCGUCCAAGCUGGUGUGACUCACUCCGUGCUCCUUCAGGGAAACGAUCCCUGUUCUUACUGCAUAUGGAGAAACAUCCUGGUUUCCCACGUUUUAAAUCAAUCUCAGGUUUAAGUGAAGGUGCAGGCUUAAAAGUUAUUACAGCUCCACUGUUUCCCCUGAUAAAUUACAUGAAUAACAUUUGAGACAAUGCAUUGUUAAAUAUUUAUGUCUAGUACUAUAGAACCAGAAAAAGCACAAGAACCCCUAGAAGAAUAAAUAUAUUUACCUAAAUAAAUUACUAAGACAAAUAUACUCCUAUGUGCUCUGUACCAAUAAACAGUAGGUAUUCACUAAAUUGUGGAAUAUAAAUGGCUCAUUUCCU